Molecule: ribosomal RNA, 255 nt
Filed under: uncultured bacterium
Lineage: Bacteria
Description: partial 16S ribosomal RNA
Source: RNAcentral
CUGCUGCCUUCCGUAGGAGUUUGGGCCGUGUCUCAGUCCCAAUGUGGCCGUUCACCCUCUCAGGCCGGCUACUGAUCGUUGCCUUGGUAGGCCAUUACCCCACCAACUAGCUAAUCAGACGCGGAACCAUCGUAUACCACCAGAGUUUUUCACACCGCUUCAUGCGAAGCUGUGCGCUUAUGCGGUAUUAGCACCUAUUUCUAAGUGUUAUCCCCCAGUAUACAGCAGAUUUUCCACGCGUUACUCACCCGUCCG